CCCCUGCCGGAAGAAGUUUGGGUGCAGCCCAGUAUUCAAGCUCCAGGACAAAGGGGGCGGGGAGGCCGCCACUAGCAAACAACCUCAGCUUCAUAAAUCCAGCAGAAAGGUCCGGGGUAUUGUUGAAAAGGUCGGAAGGACCAAGAUUAUGUCCGCCAGCCUAAGUGGGACGAACAACCAAGUUGUGCGAUGCAGCUUUAAAGGGGCUGGUGAUUGACAGAAUGGUGUAGUAGUAGAUGGGGUGGAGCCGCUGGGUGGGGUCGAGACUGGCAGCUGAGAGAUACCAAAAGGAAGAAAAAAGAAAACCAUUGCUCUUGAUAUUGCUAAUGCCGGGGGAGGUAAGCUAACGAGAAAGUAGGGAAAAGGAAGGUUUUAGAGUUCACCUCCACUCCUUCCCCUGGCUAACACUCUUUACACUCUUCUGCCUUCCCUUGAGAUAAUUAAAAUAGACUGUACACCGGCCCUAGUCGGUGCCCAUUCCCCCUAACUCUUCACUCAACUACGUGUGUAGUCCGAGGGAGUGAGGACCCCGGGUCCAAGAGCUCAAUCCCGGCCCCGCCCCGUCGGCCCAGGCCCCGGGGCUGGGAGGAGAGGAUGCCUUCGGAGGCGCAGAAUCCGAAAAAGACCAAAUCUCCAGGAUUGUGAAUCAAUCAGAGAAUGUUUAGGACUUCCAGUACUACGUAUAAGAACAGCAUUGACAAUGGGCCUCCUUGUUGUGUUACGGAUCUUCAAGAAAAGGUUUUCACUGUUUUCUCAUUGAGUAUGGUACUAGCCAUGGGUCUGUCAUAUAUGGCUUU
RNAcentral lists this long non-coding RNA (797 nucleotides) under Homo sapiens (human). RNAcentral's name for it is "HSALNT0407641". The record is from RNAcentral. Lineage: Eukaryota; Metazoa; Chordata; Mammalia; Primates; Hominidae.